GAUGCCAGACGGCCGCAGGCGGGCAACCGCCUGAGGAAAGUCCGAGCACCGAAGGGCAGGAUGCCGGUUAACUGCCGGUGGAGGCGACUUCAAGGAAAGUGCAACAGAGAUAUACCGCGAACUCCCGCAAGGGAACGCAAGGGUGGAAAGGCGAGGUAAGAGCUCACCAGCGGCUUGGCGACUUGUCCGCUCUGUAAACCCCAUCCGGUGCAAGAUUGAUAGGGAAGCAUAUGUGGCGGCCCGUCACGCUUCCGGGAAAUCGCUUGAGCCCGCUGGCAACUGCGGGCCUAGAUAGAUGGCCGUCCAAUACAGAACUCGGCUUAUAGGCA
RNAcentral lists this RNase P RNA (329 nucleotides) under chicken gut metagenome. RNAcentral's name for it is "Bacterial RNase P class A". It matches the Rfam family "Bacterial RNase P class A". Rfam says of the family: Ribonuclease P (RNase P) is a ubiquitous endoribonuclease, found in archaea, bacteria and eukarya as well as chloroplasts and mitochondria. The record is from RNAcentral.